Molecule: ribosomal RNA, 253 nt
Filed under: uncultured bacterium
Lineage: Bacteria
Description: partial 16S ribosomal RNA
Rfam family: Bacterial small subunit ribosomal RNA
Source: RNAcentral
UACGUAGGGUGCGAGCGUUAAUCGGAAUUACUGGGCGUAAAGUGUGCGCAGGCGGCCGCGCAAGUCGAGUGUGAAAUCCCCGAGCUUAGCUUGGGAAUUGCGCUCGAAACUACGUGGCUGGAGUGUGGCAGAGGAAGGUGGAAUUCCACGUGUAGCGGUGAAAUGCGUAGAUAUGUGGAGGAACGCCGAUGGCGAAGGCAGCCUUCUGGGCCAACACUGACGCUCAUGCACGAAAGCGUGGGGAGCAAACAGG